This 902-nucleotide long non-coding RNA is filed under the name Rosa chinensis. RNAcentral's name for it is "sRNA RchiOBHm_Chr7g0227551". Lineage: Eukaryota; Viridiplantae; Streptophyta; Magnoliopsida; Rosales; Rosaceae. The record is from RNAcentral.
GUGGGUUUUCCGGGAAAGCAAUUGGGUUUUUGUUUGAAAGGAAGUUAAGGGUUUUGUGAAUGCAAAAGAGGAUGGCGUUGAUGAAGCUGAGGAGCAAAGUAGGUGGGAGAGAACUAUGCCGGAGCGGUUUAGGUACUUGACCUAAGAAGCUCCUGACCCUCCUCUGAGGUGGCCUUGGUUUCUGGGUAAAAUGCUUCACUGUCUUUGUCUAUUUUGAAGAAUUUGCAGGUCCGCUGAGCACAACAGCUUUCCCCCCAGCCGGGUUCAACUCAUCCGAUGCUUCGAUCUAUGUAACCAUGAAGCAAGGGGUUAUGAGGAACUAAGGAGGGCUGCAGGAAGCAGCAGGUCAUUAAAAGGGAAAUGUCUGGGCAGAAAUGGUACAUGCUGAGGAGUUACAUAAUAGCGAGAUAGCAUGGGUUGAACGAAUACUAUAUUGGGGAAGAUGCAGCUGAGGAGUUACAUACUUUUUCAAAUUGAUGUAGAUGGUAUGUUACAUAUCUCAUGUCACAUUAGCCAUAUGUUCUUUGCUUGUAGCUUUGCACUGAAGUUCCUGGGCUGGAGUUCAACAUAAUAUUAGUUUCUAAUGACCCAUAUUGUGCUUGGAUUGAAGGUUCUUUGUAUAAAUGGAAUACUUGUGUACUAUUUUCUCAUAUAUAGGUAUCGUGUUGUAUCCAUUUGCCUUUUCGGCUGUAUAUAACAGGUAGAAUCUGAUUCAGAAUUAUGGCACUAGCUUGUGUUAUGGAGAACUGCUAGUGCUUCAUUUGUGCCUUAAAUCAUCAGCUAAGAAGUCGUAGUGCCUUAGCGUAUCUGCUGUUGAAAUCUUGAACAGAUUCUGCAGCAGAAUGCCAAUAUAGCAUAACGGGAACAAAUUCUGUUAAGUUUAUCUUAUUCUAAAUGACUCC